ACGCUCGACACCUACGAGGCAGCAGUCGGGAAUAUUGCGCAAUGGAGGAAACUCUGACGCAGUGACGCCGCGUAUAGGAAGAAGGUUUUCGGAUUGUAAACUAUUGUCGUUAGGGAAGAAAAAAGACAGUACCUAAGGAGGAAGCUCCGGCUAACUACGUGCUAGCAGCCGCGGUAAUCUGAGCGGGCUGGCAAGGC
RNAcentral lists this ribosomal RNA (197 nucleotides) under uncultured bacterium. RNAcentral's name for it is "partial 16S ribosomal RNA". It matches the Rfam family "Bacterial small subunit ribosomal RNA", at positions 326 to 539 of the family's 1533-position model. The record is from RNAcentral.